CAGCUGCUGCUUGUUACAGAACUGGAUACCAGCCACGGGAGACACAGCUCCAAGUACAAAGGAGCAACUGUUUGCAUUGACGAUUAUUAUUAAUUUUUUUCCCUCCAGAUUUACAAAUGAGGCAGAGGGCAUGUGUGCGUCGGAGUAACUGGUGGCAUGAGCACAUGGGACAGUGUCUUAAGAUGAGGUGCAGCGUCUCGAAUCGUCCGCAUUCCUUUUUGUGGGAAGGCGUCUUAGGUCAGUGGAUCAGCAAAGAAAACAGAAACCUAAGCCCGCCUGCCCUCAGAUGCACCGGCAAAGCCGUGCGCGACAGCGUCUGCUCGACAGCUGCGCCGCUCAGCGCUCCAGCAAACACCAGAGCGCCAAACUCUUCGACACAAGUAUGAGGACCACAAGGGACUGCCGAGAAGUGCGCUUGGGCUAAAAGGACGCACCAUUCACAGCAGCGGGCACAGCGAGGUGAGGGCCGUGAUUCAUGCUGGUUCCAGGGUGGGCUAAACAAGCUGCGAGGAGGCCAAGGUCUGAGUCACACGUCGUCUUUUUUUUUUUUUUUUUUUUUUUUUUUUUAACUGUACAAUAGAUAGGAAUUUAUUAUGGCUCCUCCCAGGGAUGACUGAAGAGCUUUAAAACGUGGAAGACCACCUGAUUAGUUUUGGGUCAUACAGCCCUCAACUGUGUCAUCUGAGGAACCUCCUCCCCAGCCGACAUACCUCACAAGAUGAGUAGCAGCUGCACGCUCUGAGUGGCAUUCCCCAGCCAGAGCCUGGAAUAUCGCAGAGUUAAUUACAGCUGUGAUUCAUUACGGCAGGGGGGGGUUGGUCGGGGGGGGGGGGGGGGAAUUUAAUGCGAGUAUGAAUGUGCGGCUAGUUCAAAGUUUAUGGAGGGAUCAAAAUGGCGUAACAAAAGGAAAUGAUGGAUGCCUUGAUUGGGGAAAUGAAACUCAGUGAACUUGCCCUAACAGCGCAAAGCUGGAAUAACCUCAUGUAAAGAGAGCCUGGGAGGAUUCUUAUUCACAGCGCCAGUUGCACUUCAUCUCUAGAUGAUGGAUUAUAACUGCAGUCAACAAAUAUUCGUACUUCAUUGGUCUGAAACAGUUGAUUGGUUCGAUUAUAUUAUAGUUAAAGUAUGUGGUCAAUUGAGUAGGCUGCAGUGCAUCGACUAGCGAAGUGUAGAUUGUAAUUGGUGGUUUUGCCUGUAUACCAGCCAAUUGCAGUUCCAUUGCUAUCUUGUAGUAUUCAUCCAUUCGCAAUUCACAUCACUUUCCGACCAUACCAGGUCACAGUGUGUAACGUGGUGGAUGAAAUAGGUUCAACUACUGUUACCGAGACAAAGGAACCAGGCAUGCAAACGAGAGAUCAAUCAAGGGUGAAUGAGAAAGAUGAGUAAAAAUUCAAUCGGUCCUUCGUGUGAGAAAAGAUGUGCUCUCAGACUGAAACAAUAAUGAACAUCCACUAGGUUUAAAGAGAUCACAGACUGACGGGUGCUACGUUGCAGGGAAUGGAACACGUUGCACCAAUAUUUCAACGUGGGGAAGAAGCUGAAUAUCUGCAGUGCAUUCUGCUCACUCAGUUUGAUGCCUUAUCAUUUUCUAUCUACCCGUCUCUUCAGUACCUGAAAGCCAGGCUUGGUUCAUAGCUAGCUUGGAAAACACGAAGAGUUUUCAUCAAAGGUUUCGUGUCCUCCUCUUUUUAAUAACUGCAGAAAGUCAGAUACUUUUGCAGAUUAUGAUACCCUUGGGCUCUUUCUAUCCAGCAAACAUAGAAAAUUGACAAGGAAAACGGUUGAGGAAUGGGAUUUUUCUGCCUUCAACUGAGGAUGUUUCAAGUCUUGGAGACUCAAAGAAAAUUCCAACAGUUGGGAGGAGCCCAAGUAAUUGGACUGUGUUCACCAUUCUUUUUUUUUUUUUAUUUUUAAUCUCACACCCACAUGGUUUGAAGGAUCUAUAAUUCAAAAAAGCGUCUCAUUUGCAAGGCCGACUUGCAUGUCUCCGCCCUCUCCUUUGCUUUGCCUUCUGCCCCCGAGGCUCUGCAAAACUGCCGUGCACUCUAUUCAGCUCCUGACCAAAAUUGCCACCUAAGUGUUUCCACUCCACUGCCCCUAUCGGGGCUGUACAGUAGCACUGUACUCAGUUGAGGGGGAGGUGCUGGAAAAGCAGCAUGUUCUCUCUCCAUAGAUUUGUUACAUACUCUUUUUUUUUUUUUUUCCCCCUUCAGUCUGGAAAUUCCAAGCACGACCCGGAGGAAGUCUGAGGAUUCAUCAUAAAUGAGUGGUCAUAACACGCAAGUACCCAGGAGAUCCAGAUUUGCACCCUGACCGUCACAAACAGAGGCGUCUUUGUUUGCAAGGCGAGCGGAUGCAAGCGGGGCAUUCUACUGCAUGACUCAGAAAAGCCUCCUUCUUCCUGCUCUGGUCUCAGAGGUGUUGAAAAGUUCCCAGAGCGCAUUCCAAAGUGUGAGAUGGACACAGGGAAUAACAGUUGAGCUAAGGAAGAAGAAUAUAGAGUUGUGCACCGUGAGAGGAUUGCGAGUGGGGGGUCAAUGAUAUCAGGAAAAGUCAAUUCCAACUCACGCUUGAUGGUACGUGUCAGACUCCCAGACACAACUGCGCUUCUUCUCCUCACAAGAAUUCUUAUGGUUAUGGUCCUGUGGUUAACAGUUUUAUGCAAACCUUAUCCACAAAACCUCAAACCAUCGCCAAACCAGAAUUAGUGGACAAUAUUUUUUUGGAGGGGACACUCAAAGGUGCAAAGGAUUUCAAAUGUGGCCAAUUUCGAGUCUCAACCAACAUGCUCUAUGAAAAUACACCAUAAAUGUCAACCAAAUCAAACGUCGGCCAGCUAACUGAAUGAGUUAUGCUUGAUUUUGGAGAUCGCACUGAACAGGCGUCCCUGGUUUACAGUCGUCGCAACCUACAACAUAGUCACCAACAGAAUGCGUUUGCACACCUUCCGAUGUGCAAUCCAACCACAAGAGUCAAGGAACCCUUGUGGUGUACUGCUUUUAAUGUGGUUUUACAUUUAUGGCCAAGAAGUGACUGUUUUAGCAACAGAGAUGUGUGUUCCGACUUAGUAGAUACAAAAUUGGGUCAUGUCUAUGUUGUAGGAACACAACUCUGUUGUAAACAAAAAAA
Long non-coding RNA from Hippocampus comes (tiger tail seahorse), 3129 nucleotides. RefSeq lists it as uncharacterized. The record is from RefSeq and is a predicted model, not a curated record. Lineage: Eukaryota; Metazoa; Chordata; Actinopteri; Syngnathiformes; Syngnathidae. The transcript is spliced from 2 exons.